UCCGGUUUGACACCGGCAGUCUCGCUAGAGUACUGGCUUGCGCCGAGCAACUAACGACAGGGGUUGCGCUCGUUAAGGGACUUAACCCGACACUUCACAGCACGAGCUGACGACAGCCAUGCAGCACCUGUGCACGUUCCAACCUUGCGGCUGUGGCCCCGCUUUCACGGGGUUAAUCCGUACAUGUCAAGCCCAGGUAAGGUUCUUCGCGUUGCCUCGAAUUAAGCAACAUGCUCCACCGCUUGUGUGAGCCCCCGUCAAUUCAUUUGAGUUUUAGCCUUGCGACCGUACUCCCCAGGCGGUACACUUAUCGUUUUUACUGCGACUGAUACGGCGUCAAAACCGCACCAGUCUAGUGUACAUCGUUUACGGCGUGGACUAC
This 382-nucleotide unclassified non-coding RNA is filed under the name uncultured Phycisphaeraceae bacterium. Its description in RNAcentral is "contains 16S-23S intergenic spacer region". Lineage: Bacteria; Pseudomonadati; Planctomycetota; Phycisphaerae; Phycisphaerales; Phycisphaeraceae. The record is from RNAcentral.